CGAACGGGUGAGUAACACGUGAGUAACCUGCCCCCUUCUUCUGGAUAACCGCAUGAAAGUGUGGCUAAUACGGGAUAUUCUGUGCCUGCUGCAUGGUGGGUGUGGGAAAGAUGCGCCUUUGGGUGUUUUGGUGGGGGAUGGGCUCGCGGCCUAUCAGCUUGUUGGUGGGGUGAUGGCCUACCAAGGCGGUGACGGGUAGCCGGCCUGAGAGGGUGGACGGUCACACUGGGACUGAGACACGGCCCAG
Molecule: ribosomal RNA, 247 nt
Filed under: uncultured bacterium
Lineage: Bacteria
Description: partial 16S ribosomal RNA
Rfam family: Bacterial small subunit ribosomal RNA
Source: RNAcentral